This 754-nucleotide long non-coding RNA is filed under the name Homo sapiens (human). Its description in RNAcentral is "non-protein coding lnc-AGAP1-9:1". Lineage: Eukaryota; Metazoa; Chordata; Mammalia; Primates; Hominidae. The record is from RNAcentral.
GGGAGAAUCAGAAGGGCAGAGGGCAUCAGUUGGGAAGAGUCUGUGGUUGGAGACUGCAAACAUGUGGAAGGGAGUUUGGAGGGACACUGGCCAGGUGCCUGAACACGUGGCAUUCUCUGGAAGGAACUAACCAGCGUGAGGACAUGCUGAUUGCAUACUCAGCCACCACCCAUGAAGGCUCUAAACCUGAGUACCUGUAAUUCCGGCUUCACCCUCAGCUUGCAGAGUGAGCUCAGGGAGACCAUUUGGAUGUGGCUAAAUACCCCAGGCUGCUUGCUGCAGCACGGUCGUUGUCAAGGAUACUUGGUUGAUGAAUAAAACAUCCCAGAAACGAGAGGUGCAUCUCCGAGAAAGUCCUGCAAUUGACAAGAGGAGCCCCAGUACCAUCUGGGCUGUGAGUGACAGAGGAGUCCCUUUGCAGGCCAUAGGCUGGCAGGGAUGGAGGGCUGGACAGGUGCUUGCCCACCGCCGGCCACGGGAAAGUUCUCUCCCUGUCACUGCAACGUGCGACAGGGCCGCUAAAAAGGUGACCCCUGUACGAAGGAAUGAAUGAGAUAAAACAGAGCAAGCGCUGGGAAAAAGGGAAUGAAAGCUGACGUUCACUGCUUUUUGUUCUCCCUUGGGUCUCUGUGGUCCAGGAAAAUGCAACAUGAACCUCGAUUGUUCUGUGGACCAUUCCUCCCUCUAUGAAAAUUUACAUAAUUCUUGAUGUCAAAUUUCAAAUAACACAGAAGUUUAUAGAGUAAAAAAAAAA